AGUAGGAUAGCUGGGUCAAAUGGUGGUUCUGAGGAAUCUCCAUACUGCUUUCCAUAGUGGUUGCACCAAUUUGCAGUCCCAACAGCAAU
RNAcentral lists this microRNA precursor (89 nucleotides) under Marmota monax (woodchuck). Lineage: Eukaryota; Metazoa; Chordata; Mammalia; Rodentia; Sciuridae. The record is from RNAcentral.